GUGGGGGGGGGUGCUAUAAUGCAAGUCGAACGAUGAAGCUCUAGCUUGCUAGAGUGGAUUAGUGGCGCACGGGUGAGUAAUGCAUAGAUAACAUGCCCUUUAGUCUAGGAUAGCCAUUGGAAACGAUGAUUAAUACUGGAUACUCCUUACGAGGGAAAGUUUUUCGCUAAAGGAUUGGUCUAUGUCCUAUCAGCUUGUUGGUGAGGUAAUGGCUCACCAAGGCUAUGACGGGUAUCCGGCCUGAGAGGGUGAACGGACACACUGGAACUGAGACACGGUCCAGACUCCUACGGGAGGCAGCAGUAGGGAAUAUUGCUCAAUGGGGGAAACCCUGAAGCAGCAACGCCGCGUGGAGGAUGAAGGUUUUCGGAUUGUAAACUCCUUUUGUUAGAGAAGAUAAUGACGGUAUCUAACGAAUAAGCACCGGCUAACUCUGUGCCAGCAGCCGCGGUAAUACGGAGGGUGCAAGCGUUACUCGGAAUCACUGGGCGUAAAGAGCGCGUAGGCGGGAUAGCAAGUCAGAUGUGAAAUCCUAUGGCUUAACCAUAGAACUGCAUUUGAAACUGUUAUUCUAGAGUAUGGGAGAGGUAGGUGGAAUUCUUGGUGUAGGGGUAAAAUCCGUAGAGAUCAAGAGGAAUACUCAUUGCGAAGGAUCGUGUGGUU
RNAcentral lists this ribosomal RNA (663 nucleotides) under uncultured bacterium. RNAcentral's name for it is "bacterial SSU rRNA". It matches the Rfam family "Bacterial small subunit ribosomal RNA", at positions 36 to 733 of the family's 1533-position model. The record is from RNAcentral.